Molecule: long non-coding RNA, 511 nt
Organism: Gordionus sp. m RMFG-2023
Lineage: Eukaryota; Metazoa; Nematomorpha; Gordioida; Chordodea; Parachordodidae
Exons: 3
Source: RefSeq, a predicted model, not a curated record
CUUGUGUCAAAAAUAUCAAAAGAUUAUAAUAUCAUGAUAGAUAAAAUAAUAACUUGUUUAGGCAAUCAAACAAUUCCUUGCAUCACAGCAGAUUCAUGGUCAUCAUACCAUCGUUCGUUUUUAGGCAUGACUCUACACUGGUUAGAUGCUGUCACUUUAGAAAGAAAAUCGGCAUGCUUAGCUUGCCAAAGGCUAACUAGCAAACACACAUAUGAUUAUUUAGAAGAAAUUUAAAAUACAUAAUAAGGUAACUUUAUGUGUCACUGAUAAUGCAAGAAACUUUUUAAAGGCCUUUAGAUUAUUUGAGAAAAUAUUUGAAGAUGAGGAAGAUGAAAUUGAAUCAUCAUCAUUAAAUGAGGUGCUUGAAAAUCAAAAUAGGGAGGAAAACUUUAUCUAUCUCCCCAAACAUCACUAUUGUGCUUGCCACAAUCUUAAUUUAGUGGCAAGUGUUGAUGCUGAAAAAGCAUUAGAAGAUGUAUCUUUUAAAAGAAUAUCAAAUAGUGCAUUUGAU